Molecule: unclassified non-coding RNA, 173 nt
Filed under: uncultured Agaricomycetes
Lineage: Eukaryota; Fungi; Basidiomycota; Agaricomycetes
Description: sequence contains ITS1
Source: RNAcentral
UUGAAUCCAAAGGAUGUUGCUGGCAUCGCAAGGUGCAUGUGCACUCCGCCUUUUCAAUCCACCUGUGCACACAUUGUAGGGAGCGGAUUAAGUUCUGCUUCCUAUGUUUUCAUACACACUAUAAAGUUACAGAAUGUCUUUUAACGAUUGCGCAAGCAGUCAUUAAACCUAUA